GAUGUGGUAGUUGCCAGCCGGACGUUGGCGGAGCAUGUUCGGGCCCUCGAUAGUCCGAAAGGGCGUGGGUUCGAAUCCCACUCUCGUCA
RNAcentral lists this transfer RNA (89 nucleotides) under Tilletia horrida. RNAcentral's name for it is "tRNA-Glu". The record is from RNAcentral. Lineage: Eukaryota; Fungi; Basidiomycota; Exobasidiomycetes; Tilletiales; Tilletiaceae.